Molecule: unclassified non-coding RNA, 244 nt
Filed under: Glomus sp.
Lineage: Eukaryota; Fungi; Glomeromycota; Glomeromycetes; Glomerales; Glomeraceae
Description: partial contains 5.8S ribosomal RNA and internal transcribed spacer 2
Rfam family: 5.8S ribosomal RNA (bases 1-65)
Source: RNAcentral
GUGAAUCAUCGAAUUUUUGAGCGCAAAUUGCACUCUCCUCGGAGAGUAUGCCUGUUUGAGGGUCAGCCUAUAAAAAAUGGACAUCGUUGCUGUUUCGCGGUGGGGUUGGUCGGAAAUUGGGUCAUCUUAAAUCUUUGGGUUUUAAGCGACUUAAAAUUUUCUUUUUGGUUCCAGGAACGUUUCUAGGUUUUAUUUUUUUAAACGUUUAAGUAAUCGAUUUUUAUUGGACGUGACCAUAAUAUCG